UUGGCUUAGAAGCAGCCAUCAUUUAAAGAAAGCGUAAUAGCUCACUGGUCGAGUCGGCCUGCGCGGAAGAUGUAACGGGGCUAAACCAUGCACCGAAGCUGCGGCAGCGACACUGUGUGUUGUUGGGUAGGGGAGCGUUCUGUAAGCCUGUGAAGGUGGCCUGUGAGGGUUGCUGGAGGUAUCAGAAGUGCGAAUGCUGACAUAAGUAACGAUAAAGCGGGUGAAAAGCCCGCUCGCCGGAAGACCAAGGGUUCCUGUCCAACGUUAAUCGGGGCAGGGUGAGUCGACCCCUAAGGCGAGGCCGAAAGGCGUAGUCGAUGGGAAACGGGUUAAUAUUCCCGUACUUGGUGUUACUGCGAAGGGGGGACGGAGAAGGCUAUGUUGGCCGGGCGACGGUUGUCCCGGUUUAAGCGUGUAGGUGUGUGUUCCAGGUAAAUCCGGUUCACUUUAACACUGAGGCGUGACGACGAGGCACUACGGUGCUGAAGCAACAAAUGCCCUGCUUCCAGGAAAAGCCUCUAAGCAUCAGGUAACAUCAAAUCGUACCCCAAACCGACACAGGUGGUCAGGUAGAGAAUACCAAGGCGCUUGAGAGAACUCGGGUGAAGGAACUAGGCAAAAUGGUGCCGUAACUUCGGGAGAAGGCACGCUGACACGUAGGUGAAGUGAUUUACUCAUGGAGCUGAAGUCAGUCGAAGAUACCAGCUGGCUGCAACUGUUUAUUAAAAACACAGCACUGUGCAAACACGAAAGUGGACGUAUACGGUGUGACGCCUGCCCGGUGCCGGAAGGUUAAUUGAUGGGGUCAGCGCAAGCGAAGCUCCUGAUCGAAGCCCCGGUAAACGGCGGCCGUAACUAUAACGGUCCUAAGGUAGCGAAAUUCCUUGUCGGGUAAGUUCCGACCUGCACGAAUGGCGUAAUGAUGGCCAGGCUGUCUCCACCCGAGACUCAGUGAAAUUGAACUCGCUGUGAAGAUGCAGUGUACCCGCGGCAAGACGGAAAGACCCCGUGAACCUUUACUAUAGCUUGACACUGAACAUUGAGCCUUGAUGUGUAG
This 1057-nucleotide ribosomal RNA is filed under the name Salmonella enterica. Its description in RNAcentral is "partial 23S ribosomal RNA". It matches the Rfam family "Bacterial large subunit ribosomal RNA", at positions 1101 to 2141 of the family's 2925-position model. The record is from RNAcentral. Lineage: Bacteria; Pseudomonadati; Pseudomonadota; Gammaproteobacteria; Enterobacterales; Enterobacteriaceae.